UGGAAAGUGGUGUAGUGGGAACACUUGGAGUUUUGAUCUCUAGGAUAUGGGUUCGAAUCCCUUCUUUCCAA
RNAcentral lists this transfer RNA (71 nucleotides) under Aphanotorulus emarginatus. RNAcentral describes it as "tRNA-Gln". It matches the Rfam family "tRNA". From Rfam's summary of the family: Transfer RNA (tRNA) molecules are approximately 80 nucleotides in length. The record is from RNAcentral. Lineage: Eukaryota; Metazoa; Chordata; Actinopteri; Siluriformes; Loricariidae.